This is a small nucleolar RNA of Drosophila hydei, 78 nucleotides long. RefSeq annotates it as small nucleolar RNA Me28S-Cm3227. The transcript has a single exon. Lineage: Eukaryota; Metazoa; Arthropoda; Insecta; Diptera; Drosophilidae. The record is from RefSeq and is a predicted model, not a curated record.
UUCAUUUUGAUGAAAAAUUUAAUCUGAAAACUAUGCUGAGCAAUCAAACAAAUUAAACCAAAAGGAUACUGAUCAUAU